GCUGCACGUACACCGGUAUUUGCCUUUUCACAUCGUGACAUUACAAACCGCUCUCGAUAACCAGGUCUUUGUUUAAGCCAAAAUAGCUCUACUCGACAUUGUUUUUGUUUUGGAUCACGUUUUGGCUACUGUUUGAGUGUUUCUCUCUUCAGAAGUUCUCUUACGCGUUAUUAUUGACAUUUUUAAUUACGAGUUAAAACUAGGAGUUUCAUCUUCUUCAGUUGGUAGUGGUACGUAGUGCCGUACUCGUUCACUGUACGUGGUUACUCGCUCCCGCCCGGGACCCGGGCGCGGCCAUCCCAGCUGCAGAGCCAGCCAAGCAGUUCGAGUGAAAGCGACGAGUACACCAUAUGGGACAAUGAACUCGGAGUCUACACUUUGUUUCUACAAGUCAACGGGCAACUUGAUCAAUCGAAGAGGACUGGGGAAGUGUACAACAGGCCUGUCGUUUCCGUCCGGCGAAACAAAGAGAUCAUGGAGAACCCAGAAGUACCACAACUGAAUUGGGAAGGACAGUGAGAAGUCUCUGGAGGACAGGAGAUGUGUGUGCAUUUGAGUUUUGUCAGAUGUGUAUCAAUCAGAUUAUUUACGUCUGGGACCGACCUUUUACAUCACAAUCUGAAAGACGUGACCAGGGCUCGAAACUCUGCAUCAAUUUGUAACUUCCCCACAGCUUGGAUUACAGGUGCAAGCCACAACGCCCAGGACAGGAGAGCUGU
Molecule: long non-coding RNA, 719 nt
Filed under: Lytechinus variegatus (green sea urchin)
Lineage: Eukaryota; Metazoa; Echinodermata; Echinoidea; Temnopleuroida; Toxopneustidae
Description: uncharacterized LOC121420770
Source: RNAcentral